RNAcentral lists this ribosomal RNA (646 nucleotides) under Sirobasidium magnum. RNAcentral's name for it is "LSU rRNA". It matches the Rfam family "Eukaryotic large subunit ribosomal RNA", at positions 12 to 650 of the family's 3401-position model. Lineage: Eukaryota; Fungi; Basidiomycota; Tremellomycetes; Tremellales; Sirobasidiaceae. The record is from RNAcentral.
CAGGUAGGACUACCCGCUGAACUUAAGCAUAUCAAUAAGCGGAGGAAAAGAAACUAACAAGGAUUCCCCUAGUAACGGCGAGUGAACCGGGAAGAGCUCAAAUUUGUAAUCUGGCGUGCUCCGUGCGUCCGAGUUGUAAUCUACAGAAGCGUUUUCUGUGCCGGACUGUGUCCAAGUCCCUUGGAACAGGGUAUCAAAGAGGGUGACAAUCCCGUGCUUGACACAACGACCGGCGCUUUGUGAUACGUUUUCUACGAGUCGAGUUGUUUGGGAAUGCAGCUCAAAAUGGGUGGUAAAUUCCAUCUAAAGCUAAAUAUUGGCGAGAGACCGAUAGUGAACAAGUACCGUGAGGGAAAGAUGAAAAGCACUUUGGAAAGAGAGUUAAACAGUAUGUGAAAUUGUUGAAAGGGAAACGAUUGAAGUCAGUCGUGUCUAUUGGAUUCAGCCGGUUCUGCCGGUCUACUUCCUUUGGACGGGUCAACAUCAGUUAAAGUCGGUGGAAAAGGGCUGGAGGAAGGUAGCUCUCACGAGUGUUAUAGCCUCCUGUCGCAUACACUGGCCUUGACUGAGGAAUGCAGCUCGCCGCAAGGCAGGGGUUCGCCCACUUACGAGCUUAGGAUGUUGACAUAAUGGCUUUAAACGACCC